UAUGUUUUUGUUCAGCUGUGAUGGUGCAAAAAUAGAACUGUUUACAAAAUGUGCAUCGCCUUCGCAGAUGGUUUGGACAAAAACUUGUUAUAACAUGGAAAAGAUACGUUUAUUCGCAGCAUUGCAUUGUGUGUAGCUAGGACAUGGUGUUAUACUGUUCACAUGUUAUACUGUUUUGUUAUUUCAGCUUCUUUGGGUUUGGAUUCUACACAUUGUGAAAAAGACAUAACCAGCGAAAGCUCUGGCCAGUUUCUUUUCCCAAGCCGUAAAGGAGCAGGUUCAUGUCUCCAUGCAGUCAUAGAUGUCCUCUCUGAGACCCACAACAGUCUUGUGCGGGAAGCCAGAAAACUCUGUCAGCAGACAGACAGUGACUAUAAAGUGCCAUUGGCUGUUCUGUCUAAGAGCCAGCUUGCCCUGUGCCACCCAGAGAGAGAGUUUCUCCCUCUGGUGUUAGCAAACUGCCAUUACACAUUAGAGAAGGGUCAGCAGACAGUGAGCUCUUAUGAUCAUCAGGGUAUCGAGAGAGAGCUCAGCAGACGAUUCUUUGCAGGCAAACCACGGAUUCAAACAGUGAGUCAUUAUUAUAUAACAACCUUAUCCUCAUACGUAUGUCUUAUAUAUGACCAGAUAUAUUUGUUAAUUAAAAUUGAAAACUCAUGAUUAAACAUGUCAUGCAGGACACAGAAAAAUAUCUGAGAAGACACCAUCAGAAUUUUACAGAAGUCCUCAACGAGGUCAGAGCCAAAAUACCCCAGGUAAUUAUGUUUUAGAGUUUCUUUGUUGAUGGUGGCAUAUUUAAAGGCAUAUUAUAAAAUUUAAAAAAAA
RNAcentral lists this long non-coding RNA (825 nucleotides) under Danio rerio (zebrafish). RNAcentral's name for it is "lncRNA (ENSDARG00000117508.1)". The record is from RNAcentral. Lineage: Eukaryota; Metazoa; Chordata; Actinopteri; Cypriniformes; Danionidae.